GGCACAUCACAAUGAAGCUAAAUAUACUGCCAUUUUUUUUUUUAAUUAAAGGUUAUAGAAAUUGUAUAUAAUUUUCUCUGCAAGGAGAAAUUGGGUGGAAUUGCUACAGGCUUUGAAGAGAAGUGGUGUCUGAAGUAAGAUUUAAUGUACAUUCUGCGUCUUUCAGGGAAGGAAAUAAGAGAUCUGACUAAGUAACUUGAUGGAUGCAAUGAAAACACAACAUCUACAAGUGAUUAAAUGAAAUCUUAUUUCAUGCACUACUCAAGAAUCUCUGUGGAAGAUUGCUGCAGAGCCAGCAGAGGUGUAGAACAGAUUUUGGGGUCUGUGCUGUCUUUUGGGCAAGGCUAAUC
This 350-nucleotide long non-coding RNA is filed under the name Zonotrichia albicollis (white-throated sparrow). RNAcentral describes it as "lncRNA (ENSZALG00000006633.1)". The record is from RNAcentral. Lineage: Eukaryota; Metazoa; Chordata; Aves; Passeriformes; Passerellidae.